UGAAAUUGAGUUGCACCCGUGAGGCCCUUCAGGGUUUGGAGGCUGCUCUGAGUUCUCUGUCAGGUUUCUCUUCAGGUUUUGUCCAGGGUUUUGUUCCAAGGAAACCUCAGAGUAUUUUGCUUCUCUUCCAUUUUCUCAAGUGAAGCCUUGGUAUUUAUAGACUGAAUUUCAUGGUUUUGUGGGCUUAAAUGAGAGAGACCCAAGUCCAAAAUUUUUUAUUAUAUUUUAUUUAUUUUUUUAUUAUUAUUUUUAUUU
This 255-nucleotide long non-coding RNA is filed under the name Lathyrus oleraceus (garden pea). RNAcentral's name for it is "Pisum sativum (pea) long non-coding RNA (PSAT_LNC038926)". The record is from RNAcentral. Lineage: Eukaryota; Viridiplantae; Streptophyta; Magnoliopsida; Fabales; Fabaceae.